This 441-nucleotide ribosomal RNA is filed under the name uncultured bacterium. RNAcentral describes it as "partial 16S ribosomal RNA". It matches the Rfam family "Bacterial small subunit ribosomal RNA", at positions 28 to 505 of the family's 1533-position model. The record is from RNAcentral.
GAUGAACGCUGGCGGCAUGCCUAACACAUGCAAGUCGAUCGGUAAGGCUCUUCGGAGUACACGAGAGGCGGACGGCUGAGUAACGCGUAGGAACACACCCUGCAGUGAGGGAUAAGACACCGAAAGGUGUUCUAAUACCGCAUACGGUCUUCGGAUUAAAGCAUUUAUGCGCUGAAGGAGUGGCCUGCGUCAUAUUAGAUAGUUGGUGAGGUAAUGGCUCACCAAGUCGAUGAUGUGUAGCUGGUCUGAGAGGAUGAUCAGCCAGACUGGAACUGAGACACGGUCCAGACUCCUACGGGAGGCAGCAGUGAGGAAUAUUUCACAAUGAGCGAAAGCUUGAUGGAGCAAUGCCGCGUGCAGGAUGAAGGCCCUCGGGUUGUAAACUGCUUUUAUAAGAGAAGAUUAUGACGGUAACUUAUGAAUAAGGGACGGCUAACUACG